Paramuricea clavata is the source of this 534-nucleotide non-coding RNA. Lineage: Eukaryota; Metazoa; Cnidaria; Anthozoa; Malacalcyonacea; Plexauridae. The record is from the annotation of a GenBank genome assembly.
AACACACUGUCAAAUCAAGAAAUAGUUUGGGGGUUAGGCAGUUCAUGAAAGCUAGAUGACCUACUAUGUGGGGAAUAAAUCUGUGGGUUGCUGCAGACAAUCCUAAUGGUUAUAUUGCGACUUUGAAAUUUAUACAGGAAGAAGUCCAGAUAUUCAUCGCAACACAUUUGGGUAUGACGUGGUGAUCUGAUAUCAGUUUGGUUACAGUCUUAGGUCUUUUGUAGUACAAUAUAAAGGAAAUAUUUUCACCACAUAAUCCAAUUAUGUGCUUUGGCAAACAUUACUGCCUUGGAAAACAUUACUGUUUUAUAACUACUAAUUAUGAUGAUGCCAGCCCAACAACACUUGGUCAUGCUAUUUGCAAAUAUUUUCAUGUUCUAGAUUGUGAAAACAAUCAAUUUCUAAACAAAUGAGUAGUGAUUAUUUCAAAUUUGAAUAGCAUGACCCAAUUUUGAGGCUGGUUAUGCCACUAAUAACUAAAGUCAAUGGUGUAAUGAUUAUCUAAGAAUGUAUGUAGUAAUUGUAGAAAUAAAG